This is a long non-coding RNA of Daucus carota subsp. sativus, 791 nucleotides long. RefSeq lists it as uncharacterized. The transcript has 5 exons. The record is from RefSeq and is a predicted model, not a curated record. Lineage: Eukaryota; Viridiplantae; Streptophyta; Magnoliopsida; Apiales; Apiaceae.
GCUACUUUUGUGUUAUGCACGUUUUCCUAUACAGAAACAAACAGAAAGCUUUUUCUUACUGACGCCGCUUUGUCAUUGUUUUUGAAAUUUUGAAAUUCAAAUUUCUCAUCCUUAAACUUUUGUCCCUCUUAAAUCUGAGUUCAGGCUCAUUCUCUCAUAAUAGGAGUAUUCUUUUGUUAGUCAUAACUAUUUAUAUAUUUGUAGCUGAAGGUUAGAUGCAUCAGUUUUUGAUUGUAGAAGAUGUUACCAAAUCUCAUAAUAUUCGAGUCAAAGUGUCGAAAGCAGAAUGACAAAGAGACGGGAAGAUUGUGAAAUAACGGUAAUUAGGCACUUUGUUAGUGCGUGUGCUAGAAUUCUCGGACUGGAGGGUACACCUGAAGGAGUGGAAGAUCAAGGAAGGCUGACCCGUGUGGUUGCGGUUGGAGAGGAAUGAAGUUUGAAAUGAAAUAAGUAUGUGUGAAACAACGUAAGUGUAACAUAGGGAUGAUAUAUUUAAGUAGGUGAGAUCAAAGUUGAUGAUGUAGCAGACAAUAUCGGUGAAUGAUGCGGGUGGGAGAGAAGAUCGAAUACAUCUGUACACUAGAAUUUAGUGAUCUGAAGUUUUAGAAAGGCAUGAACGAAGUUAUGGAUAUUGUACUUGGAUGUUAAGAAAACAGACUUUACUCCCAAUCCUGUGAAUUUCAGAAGAUGGUAACAUAUAGUUUAGAUGUUAAAUAUUUGUCUCCCAUGUAAAUUUCUGUUUCGAUAUGUGUGUAUAAUAUAUGUGUCUGAAUGCUGUCUUGGUUUAUAAA